RNAcentral lists this ribosomal RNA (253 nucleotides) under uncultured bacterium. RNAcentral describes it as "partial 16S ribosomal RNA". It matches the Rfam family "Bacterial small subunit ribosomal RNA", at positions 524 to 776 of the family's 1533-position model. The record is from RNAcentral.
UACGGGGGGGGCAAGCGUUGUCCGGAUUUACUGGGCGUAAAGUGUGCGCAGGCGGCCGAGCAAGUCGAGUGUGAAAGCCCCGAGCUUAACUUGGGAACUGCGCUCGAAACUACUUGGCUAGAGUGUGGCAGAGGGAGGUGGAAUUCCACGUGUAGCGGUGAAAUGCGUAGAGAUGUGGAGGAACACCGAUGGCGAAGGCAGCCUCCUGGGCCAACACUGACGCUCAUGCACGAAAGCGUGGGGAGCAAACAGG